RNAcentral lists this small nuclear RNA (107 nucleotides) under Salvator merianae (Argentine black and white tegu). The record is from RNAcentral. Lineage: Eukaryota; Metazoa; Chordata; Lepidosauria; Squamata; Teiidae.
GUGCUUGCUUUGGUAGCACAUAUAGUAAAAUUGGAACGAUACAGAGAAGAUUAGCAUGGCCCCUGUGCAAGGAUGACACGCAAAUUCAUGAAGCAUUCCACAUUUAA